Molecule: long non-coding RNA, 32898 nt
Filed under: Triticum aestivum (bread wheat)
Lineage: Eukaryota; Viridiplantae; Streptophyta; Magnoliopsida; Poales; Poaceae
Description: long non-coding RNA (TAES_LNC016218)
Source: RNAcentral
AUUGGUCACCUAAUGUUCCUAUAUUCGUUUCGAAAAGCAUGUGCGCCACCCACUAGUCCAGCUAGUUCCACUUUCCUGAUUUUUCUCUUGAUGCUUAGGGUUUUCCCCUUUUAUCUACUCUACUAUGAUCUGCGUAGGUGCUUUCUGUCGUACUAGCAUUACUCCACCCUUCAAGCUAAACAACACAACACUCAAAAUUUGAAAGCUUAAUUGUUCAAAUAUGAUUGUGAUACGAUACUGAUAUUAGUUAACAGGCACAUUUAAUUGGUUAGCUAAAGGUCCCACUUGAGUUUCCAAGUGCAUGUCGCGACAUAUAGAGAGACAGCAGAAUUGCAUUUCUUUGUCACUUGUUGACUGUACUUUCUUGUCCAUACCAAAUCUUAGUUGUUAUUUCAAAGCAAACAUCGGUUGCUAACUACCCUUUGCAUAGUUUGCAGCUUCAGAUCUGCCAUCCCACUGCCACGGUCAACACUGUACUCAUCAUGCUUAUGGUUUCCCCAUUUUAUGAUGACCAUGAUCAGCCUACGUGGUUCGUGUCGUAAUAACACUGCUCCACCCAUCGAGCUAAACAAGCUUAGCUGUACAAAUUCAUAUAUGAUAUUAUGCUGAUAUUAGUAAAACUAAGAGAUGUUUAAUUGGUCAGCUAAAUGUUCCUACUUUAGUUUCGAAAUGCUUGUGAGCCACAUAUGGAGAGACCGGAAAGAAUAGUAUUUCUCUAUGCGCUCUGGUUCAUCAUGGGUGGCCAACCGACAUUGUAUUGAAAGACUUGUAAUAUCUUCAAUCUGCUUGCUCUUCUUCUCUUCUUUAAGAUGAUCAUCUUCUCUUGCGGUCGACUGGUCAGGUCGAGUUGUUCUCCCUUUUUAUAUUUUGAAUCUGUCAGGUCAGGUUGACUUGUUCUUCUUUACUAUAUGUUGAACAUGUCAUCUGCGAAGUGUCAUCACUUCUGGAUCUCUCAUAUUUUGAGUAGUAGGCCACAUUAUAUUAAUGCACACACCAAAUUACAGCAUGCAUGGCAUCUCUUAAAAGAAUUGCAGAGAUAACACAAAGGGGUUUACAGGGAGGCAGUAUUGGAUUAAAAUCACUUCUGCAUUACAAAGAUAAUCUCACUUGUUUUUAUGUUUUCAUGCAUGUCAGAUAUUGAACAUUAUCAAAAUGAAUAUAAGAAUGGGCAUACCAGAGGAAUAUUGCGGAACAAUCCACUGGCUAACAAACUUGGCAUGGUGGAGGAUGGCCUAUCUUAUUCACCCAUCAAGGUGCUUGCUCUAACUUGGCAAGGUUGUAUUGGUCGCACAUAUUUUGCAUCUGACCUCUUGCAUUACUUUUACUUUGUCACAUCAUCUUCUUAGUUUAAGCAUCAUAUAUGAGUAUAUGCCAUACCUAUCAAUUUUCUGUACCUAUUCCAUGUGUCGUCAUACUAUGUUUUUCCAGUCAAAUAUUGUUCUUUCGUAAUAGAUGUCCAAAAGGAAGAGGGUGAGUCCAGAUUCUCAAGGAGUACAAACUAGGUAUUUGGAAAAGGUAGUGAUACCUGUUAAAUUAGACAGAUCAGCAGCCACAGAAAACACAGGCCCAACUGUACAACACUUUACCCCUACUCUAGUGGCCAAACUGCUAUUAGAACUGUUGAGAGCCCAGCGUCAGGUACUGUCUAUGGUAUCAAUUCAAAAUUUGAACUCCUAAAUAUCUGCAUGUGCCUUACCUUCUCUCUUGUAUGAAAACUAAUUUCAGAUGAAUCUCCUUGCUCAAAGGAUCAUACGAUCUCACAACAAUGCUGGGCUCUGCAUUGCUCUUGUCAGUACCUCUCUCCCUUUUGCCUUGUAACGAUGUCCUUAAUUAAUUGCUAUUUGAUUAUGUAUCACCAGUCUGCACCCGAGCUUCAUUAUCCUCAGUUUCUUCAAAUAUUAUUUGAUCUAUAUUUACUCUUUGCAAAAUGUAGAAUAAUGGCAACGCUUAUAAAGAAUUUUCUUUGGGGAAUUUAUUGAAUUAUCCUUCCAUCAACAUGGAGAAGGGCUUUGUCCAGCCCGUGUUAACAUGUAAUGUAAGUUCAUCCUUCUCAAGCCUUCAAACAUUGUUCUAGUAUAGAUUUGGAUAGGCAUCAUUUCCUCCACUGUUGUUUGCUUUAUUGUUUACAUCUGAUUGGAUGUUUGCAACAACUACCAGUUUCAAAUUGUAGUUGUAAAAACAUGUUCCUUAUGCAGAACAGAUCCAUUUAUUUGCUUAUAUAAUUGUGAAACCUGUUACUUGUCUCCUUGUUUCUCUUUCAUAGUCGUAUCUCUUAUGCCUGGCAGAACUUUAGGGAAGAUAGUGAGCCAAACCAUCUUGAGGACAGCGAGAUGACCCCAAGGUCCUGUCUUGAUGAAGACAGUGAGUUGAAGCUACUCACCAGCAGGUGUGAGACAACCUCUAUGCAGUCACUGCCUCAAUCAGUUUGACUUCUUCAGUCUCAACUUAAAGCAGAAAGGCUUGCUUCAGCUUAGCUCUGAUUGAAGUCAAAGAUGUAAUGAAGAUGUCAUAGGACUGCCUCGCGCACCAACAUGCCAUACAGCUACGGGUGAUGCAUCUAUCACUGACACAACUGAGGUCUAAUCAGCUUGUUCAGCUAUUUGGGGGGGGGCAACCUGGCCAGGCCUAGUGCCUUCUGAAGUGCUCUCGGUUUUGUAUAUUCUUUUGUCAGCGUGUUUAUUUGCACUGGUGGUGAACUUUGAUGCCCAGUGGAUGUAAUAUGUGUAAUAGCCGUGAUAGCCUAGCGUAAGUUUGCUGCUUAUUUAUUUCCUUGUUAUCUUGUUUAUUUGUUUUCUUGUAGUUAGUGCAGUUCUUUUUCCACGGUUUGCUAGUGGCCGCAAUAACCUAUUUUUUAAAACUAGGCCACAAUAACCAUGGGCUACAUAUUUACUGUAGUGACACUGGGCCUCCUACGGGCCGUAGAAACAAUGGGCCUUCUAUGGGCGUAGAAACAAUGGGCCUUCUACGGGUCGUAGAAACAAUGGGCCUUCUACGGGCCGUAGAAAUAAUGGGCCUUCUACGGUUCGUAUCGUCAAUGGGCCUUAUUCGGGCCGUAUGAUCGAUUGGCCAAACAUGGGCCAAUAACAGACCGCAUUAUGGCCGUAAAUGGACUAGAGUUGGAAUCAUCCGUUCAUGGACCGACCAUAAUGGGUCGUCGUUAAUAGGCCGUAUUUGAUGAUGCAGAAAGGGCCCAACAUAUUAACGGGCCACAAACAGGCCGACUAUAAUCGCAGGUUGAAUUUGACCCACAAGCAGAAAAUGGCAGUAACGGGUCGUAAGGAACCGAAUGCUGGAAAUGAGUCCAAGAAUAAAUGGGCCCUGAGAAGGCCAAAAGAUAACAUGGGCUGGAAACUGCCCAACGGAAUAACGGGCCGUCAAUGGGGUAUCAAGUGACACACUGUUCAUUACGGGCUAGUUUCACCACGGGCCAUUAAUGGGUAUAAAGUGAUACACUAUUCAUUAUGGGCCAGUUUCACCACGGGCCGUUAAUGGGCCAAGAGUUACAAAGGGCCUCAUAUGGGUCGAAAGACGUCAUGGGGCAUACAUGGGCCAGAAGUUAAAACGGGCUGGAAUCAAAUUGGACGGCCCAGAUGACGCUAUUGGGCCUAAUUCGGAUAGGUCAUAACGGGCCCUGGGUUAGCGGGUUGUAAAUGGGCUAUAUGCGAACAGGCCAUUAACAGGCUUUCCAUGGGCUGGCCUGCCACCUUUUGACCAAGUCAAACGGGCCGGCCUUUUCACAGGAAUGGGCCUCUGUUGGGCCGUGCCAGGUGUCGACGUAUCAUAGGCGCCUUCUGUCCAAUGAGUGGAUGACAUCUGUCCAAACGUUGAGCCGACACGUGUUUCGUCCAGCCAAUGAUGAUUUUACACGUGGAAAAUCCCCAUUGGUCGGGGCUGUUAACGGGUUAUCGGAUCCAAAACUAGACCCGAUAGCUUAACGGCAUUCCGUUACGGUGGAUGCCACGUGUCGGUCACCCUUGACUAAAGCACUUCUGUGACGUAUGAUUUAUCGUCAUGAAAGUGGACACUUUCGUGAUGAUAAUUUUGGUAAUGUCAUGGAACACUUCUACGACAGCACAUGUAUGACUAUCUUGAUUCUGUCAUAAAAUCGUCAUGGAUGUACAUGCAUGACAAAAAACAUGACCUACCGUGACAAACACGUAUCAACACGGAAGUGUAUUUUUUUGUAAUGUUUAUGUGUGAUAGAACGUAUCGUAUCACGGGGUUUGGAUGCACCGGUGAAGUUUGCACCAACUCUCAAGGUACUGUAGAGGCUAGCAAUGAUGAAAGAGUGAGAGUGCGUAUAAUCCAUGGAUUCACAUUAGUCAUAAAGAACUCAUAUACUUAUUGCAAAAGUUUAUUUGCCCUUGAAGCAAAGUACUAGUACGCAUGCUCCCAGGGGAAGGGUUGGUAGGAGUUAACCAUCGCGCGAUCCCGACCUCCACACAUAAGGAAGGCAAUCAAAGAGCACCUCAUGCUACAAAUUUGUUACACAACUUUUACCAUACAUGCAUGCUAUGGGACUUACCAACUUUAACACAAGUAUUUCUCAAUUUCAUAAUUACCCAACUAGCACGACUCUAAUAUUACCACCUCUAUAUCUCAAAACAAUUAUCAAGUAUCAAAUUUAUCAUAGUGUUCAAUGCACUCUAUAUGAUAGUUUUUAUUAUACCCAACUUGGAUGCCCAUCAUAUUAGGACUAAUUUCAUAACCAAAGAAAAUACCAUGCUGUUCUAAAAGACUCUCAAAAUAAUAUAAGUGAAGCAUGAGAGAUCAAUAAUUUGUAAAAAAUAAAACCACCGACGUGCUCUAAAAAGAUAUAAGUGAAGCACUAGAGCAAAAUUAUCUAGCUCAAAAGCUAUAAGUGAAGCACAUAGAGUAUUCUAAUAAAUUCCGAAUCAUGUGUGUCUCUCCUAAAAUGUGUGUACAGCAAGGAUGAUCGUGGUACACUAAAAAUCAAAGACUCAUAUCAUACAAGACACUCCAAGCAAAACUCAUAUCAUGUGGUGAAUAAAAAUAUAGCCCCAAGUAAAGUUACCGAUAGACGAAGACGAAAGAGAGGAUGCCUUCCGGGGCAUCCCCAAACUUAGGCUUUUGGUUGUCCUUGAAUUUAUCUUGGGGACCCUUGGGCAUCCCCAAUCUUAGGCUCUUGCCACUCCUUACUCCGUAGUCCAUCAAAUCUUUACCCAAAACUUGAAAACUUCACAACACAAAACUCAACAGAAAAUCUCAUAAGCUCCGUUAGUGCAAGAAAGAAAAACCACUACUUAAGGUACUGUAAUGAAAUAAUUCUUUAUUUAUAUUGGUGUUAAACCUACUGUAUUCCAACUUCUCUAUGGUUCAUACCCCCCGAUACUAGUCAUAGAUUCAUCAAAAUAAGCAAACAACACACGAAAAACAGAAUCUGUCAAAAACAGAACAGUCUGUAGCAAUCUGUAACUUUCAAAUACUUAUGUAACUCCAAAAAUUCUGAUAUAAAUUUGCGGAUGUGAGGAAUUUGUCUAUUAAUCAUCUUCAAAAUGAAUCAACCUAAAAUCACUCUCCAGUAAAUAAUGGCAUCUAAUCUCGUGAGCGCUAAAGUUUCUGUUUUUUACAGCAAGAUCAUAAAGACUUCACCCAAGUCUUUCCAAAGGUUCUACUUGGCACAAACACUAAUUAAAACAUAAAACCACAUUUAAACAGAGGCUAGAUGAAUUAUUUAAUACUAAACAGGAACAAAAAGCAUGGAACAAAAAUAAAACCGGGUUGCCUCCCAACAAGCGCUAUCGUUAACGCCCCUAGCUAGGCAUAAAAGCGAGAAUAGAUCUAAGUAUUGCCAUCUUUGGUAUUCAAUUCAUAAGUGGCUCUCAUAAUAGAUUCAUAAGGUAAUUUGAUAUUUUUUCUAGGAAAGUGUUCCAUGCCUUUCCUUAAUGGAAAUUGGAAUCUAAUAUUUCCUUCUUCAUAUCAAUAAUUGCACCAAUCGUUCUAAGGAAAGGUCUACCAAGAAUAAUAGGACAUGAAAGAUUGAAAUCUAUAUCAAGAACAAUAAAAUCUACGGGCACAUAAUUCCUAUUUGAAACAAUAAGAACAUCAUUAAUUCUUCCCAUAGGUUUCUUAAUAGUGGAAUCCGCAAGGUGCAAGUUUAAGGAGCAAUCAUCAAAUUCAGAGAAACCUAGCACAUCACAUAAGGUUUUUGGUAUCGUGGAAACACUAGCACCCAAAUCACACAAAGCAUAGCAUUCAUGAUCUUUAAUUUUAAUUUUAAUAGUAGGUUCACACUCGUCAUAAAGUUUUCUAGGGAUAGAAACUUCUAAUUCAAGUUUUUCUUCAUAAGACUGCAUCAAAGCAUCAACAAUAUGUUUGGUAAAAGAUUUAUUUUGACUAUAAGCAUGAGGAAAAUUCAAAAUGGAUUGCAACAAGGAAAUACAAUCUAUUAAAGAACAAUUAUAAUAAUUAAAUUCCUUGAAAACCAAAAUAGUGGGUUCGUUGCUAUGUAAAGUUUUGACCUCUCCAAUCCCACUUUUACCAAUUUUAGCAUCAAGAUCUAUAAACUCUGAAUCAUUGCGACGCCUUUUAACUAAAGUUGACUCAUCUCCAUUCCCAUUAUUACCAAGAUUCAUAUUGCAAAACAAAUAUUUCAUAGGGGACACAUCAAUCACUUUUAGAUCUUCAUCAUUAUUAUCAUGAAAAUUAGAAGAACACACUCUUACAAAGCACUCUUUCUUAGCAUGCAUUCUAGCAGUUCUUUCUUUGCACUCAUCAAUGGAAAUUCUCAUGGCUUUGAGAGACUCAUUGAUAUCAUGCUUAGGUGGAAUAUAUCUAAGUUUCAAAGAAUCAACAUCAAGAAAAGUUCUAUCCAUGUUCCUAGCCAAUUCAUCAAUCUUAGGCAAUUUUUCUUCAAGCAAAGCAUUGAAAUUCUUUUGAGAGAUCAUAAAUUAUUUAACACUAAUCUAAAAAACAGAGGGCAUCUUAUUAAAAUUUCUAUAAGAGUUGUUGUAGGAAUUACCAUAAUUAUUAGAGGAAUUACUAGGAAACAGCCUAGGAUUAAAGUUUCCUCUAUACGCGUUGUUACCAAAAUUAUUCCUACCAAUAAAAUUCACAUCCAUAGAUUCAUUAUUAUUCUCAAUCAAAGUAGACAAAGGCAUAUCAUUAGGAUCAAUUGGAGCACUCUUAUUAGCAAACAAUUUCAUAAGUUCAUACAUCUUUCCACUCAAAACAUUAAUCUCUUCUAUCCCAUGAACCUUUUUACUAGUAGAUCUUUCGGUGUGCCAUUGAGAAUAAUUAACCAUAAUAUUAUCUAGGAGUUUAGUAGCUUCUCCUAAAGUGAUUUCCAUAAAAGUGCCUCCCGUGGCCGAAUCUAAAAGAUUUCUAGAAGCAAAAUUCAAUCCGGCAUAAAAAAUUUGUAUGAUCAUCCAUAAAUUUAAACCAUGUGUAGGGCAAUUGUGAAUCAUUAAUUUCAUCCUCUCCCAAGCUUGUGUAACAUGUUCAUGAUCAAUUUGCUUAAAAUUCAUAAUAUCGUUUCUAAGAGAGAUGAUCUUAUCGGGAGGAAAAUAUUUAGAGAUAAAAGCAUCUUUGCACUUAUUCCAUGAAUCAAUACUAUUUUUAGGCAAAGAUAAAAACCAAGUUUUAGCACGAUCUCUAAGUGAAAAUGGAAAUUGCUUCAAUUUAACAAUAUCAUUAUCCAUGUCUUUCUUCUUUUGCAUAUCGCACAAGUCAACAAAGUUGUUUAGAUGAGUAGCGGCAUCUUCACUAGGUAGGCCAGAGAAUUGAUCUUUCAUGACAAGAUUCAACAAGGCAACAUUAAUUUCACAAGAUUCAGCAUCGGUAAGAGGAGCAAUCGGAGUGCAAAGGAAAUCAUUAUUGUUGGUAUUGAAAAAAUCACACAAUUUAGUAUUAUCUUGAGCCAUCGUGACAAGCAAUCCAACACACAAGCACACAAAAGGCAAGCAAAAAAAAGGCGAAUGGGAAAGAGAGGGCGAAUAAAAUGGCAAGGGUGAAGUGGGGGAGAGGAAAACGAGAGGCAAAUGUCAAAUAAUGUAAUGCGAGGGAGAAGAGUUUGUGAUGGGUACUUGGUAUGUCUUGACUUGUGCGUAGACCUCCCCAGCAAUGGCGCCAGAAAUCCUUCUUUCUACCUCUUGAGCAUGCGUUGUUUUUUCCCUUUAAGAGGAAAGGGUGAUGCAGCAAAGUAGCGUAAGUAUUUCCCUCAGUUUUUUAGAACCAAGGUAUCAAUCCAGUAGGAGGCUAUACUCCAAGUCCCUUGUACCUGCACAAACAAACAAGAACCUCGCAACCAACGCGAUAAAGGGGUUGUCAAUCCCUUCACGACCACUUGCGGAAGUGAGAUCUGAUAGAGAUAAUAAGAUAAGAUAAAUAUUUUUGGUAUUUUUAUGAUGUAGAUUGGAAAGCAAAGAUUGCAAAAUAAAGUAGAUCGAAAACUUAUAUGAUGGAAAAUAGACCCGGGGGCCAUAGGUUUCACUAGUGGCUUCUCUCAAGAUAGCAUAAGUACUAUGGUGGGUGAACAAAUUACUGUCGAGCAAUUGAUAGAAAAAUGCAUAGUUAUGAGAAUAUCUAGGCAUGAUCAUGUAUAUAGGCAUCACGUCCAAGAUUAGUAGGCCGGGUCCUGCCUGCAUCUACUACUAUUACUCCACACAUCGACCGCUAUCCAGCAUGCAUCUAGAGUAUUAAGUUCAUAAGAAUAGAGUAACGCAUUAGGCAAGAUGACAUGAUGUAGAGGGAUAAACUCAAGCAAUAUGAUAUAAACACCAUCUUUUUGUCCUUGAUGGCAACAAUACAAUACGUGCCUUGCUGCCCCUGCUGUCACUGGAAUAGGACAUCGCAAGAUUGAAACCAAAGCUAAGCACUUCUCCCAUUGCAAGAAAGAUCAAUCUAGUAGGCCAAACCAAACUGACAAUUCGAAGAGACUUGCAAAGAUAACCAAUCAUACAUAAAAGAAUUCAGAGGAGAUUCAAAUAUUUCUCAUAGAUAAACUUGAUCAUAAGCCCACAAUUCAUCGGAUCUCGACAAACACACCGCAAAAAGAGUUACAUCGAAUACAUAUCCAAGAAGAUUGAGGAGAACAUUGUAUUGAGAUUCAAAGAGAGAGAAGAAGCCAUCUAGCUAAUAAUUAUGGACCCGAAGGUCUGUGGUAAACUACUCACAACUCAUCGGAGAGGCGUCGGCGUUGAUGUAGAAGCCCUCCAUGAUCGAUUCCCCCUCCGGCGGAGCGCCGGAAAAGGCUCCAAGAUGGGAUCUCACGGGUAUAGAAGGUUGCGGCGGUGGAUAUAGGGUUUCGUAGUGCUCAUGGAUGUUUUUGGGGUACACAGAUAUAUAUAGGUGAAGGAAGUCGAUCUGGGGAGCCAUGAGGGGCCCACGAGGGUGGGGGGCGCGCCCACCCCUCUAGGGCGCGUCCUAGACCCUCGUGGCCACCUCAUUUGCUUCUUGACGUCCACUCCAAGUCUCCUGGAUUGUGUUUGUUCCAAAAAUAACUCUCCCGAAGGUUUCAUUCCGUUUGGACUCUGUUUGAUAUUCCUUUUCUACGAAACACUGAAACAGGCAAAAAAACAGCAAUUUGGGUUGGGCCUACGGUUAAUAGGUUAGUCCCGAAAAUGAUAUAAAAGUGUUUAGUAAAGCCCAUAAACAUCCAAAGCAGGUAGUAUAAUACCAUGGAACAAUCAAAAAUUAUAGAUACGUUGGAGAUGUAUCAGGGUGUAUAGAGGCCAUAGCAAGCAUUCAAACUACUUAGAACUCUAAGAAUUUAACAUGGAAGAUCAUCUACAUCAACACCAAGAGUAGCUAAUUAUUCAAAAUAUAAACCACUAAAGCAAAAACUAAUUGGACACACGGAAGAGUAACAUGCCAAGCAACAAUCCCACGAAACAAUUUUUAAAAAUGGAGCUUCGAGCAAAGAAAUCGAAAUCCGCUGGGUUGAGAACAAGAACACGAAAGAGAGAGCAAUGGUGAUUUUUUUUCUAGAGGUAGGUGAUGAUGUGGGAUGAAGAGAUAAGUGAGAGGGCCCACGUGGGGACCACAACCCACCAGGAUGCGCCUGGGGGUCCUGGCGUGCCCAGGUGGGUUGUGCCCACCUGGUGCACCUCCCACUGAUAUUAUUUGCACAAACAAUUCUUAAAUAAUCAGGAAAAAUUGUAUUAAAUUUUCAGAGCUAUGAACUUUUAUUUCUGGGUCAUUUUUUAUGCACGGAAAAUUCCGAAAAAGGCAAAACAUGGCAUUUUAUUUUAUUUAACUAAUAAAAACAGAGAACAAAAGGUAGGGACAGAAGGUAGUGCUCACUAAAUUCAUCAACUUCAUAUCUCUCAAAAAUGAUCCUUUAAUAAGGUUGAUUAAGUCUUAUUAACAACCACUUUCGAUUAGCAUGAAACCGAAGAACUUUCAUGAAUCACUAAGUUACCUCAACGGGGAUAUGAAUAUCCCUAACAAUAAGCAUUUUAUAUUUCUGUUUAACAGUAGGUAGAGGUAGUUGAAAACUUCCAAUAGUGAUUGUCGGAGAUUUUUCAAUAACAUUAAUACCAUUCACUUGGAAUUUUUUCUUCAGAAAGUGCACUGUAUGCGCAUUACCAUUGAUAUGAAAAGUGACCUUGCUUUUACUGCAAUCAAUAGCAGCCCCUGCAGUAUUCAAGAAGGGUCUACCAAGGAUAAUCGACAUGUUGUCGUCCUCGGGCAUCUCAAGUAUAACAAAGUCAGUUAAGAUAGUAACAUUACCAACAACAACGGGCACAUCCUCACAAAUACCGAUAGGUAUGACAACUGAUUUGUCAGCCAUUUGCAAAUAUAUUUUAGUAGGUGUGCGUUUAUUCAAAUCAAGUCUUUUAUAUAAAGAGAAAGGCAUAACACUAACACCUGCUCCCAAAUCACAUAAAGCAGUUUUCACAUAAUUUCUUUUAAUGGAGCAAGGUAUAGUUGGUAUUCCCGGAUCUCCAAGUUUUUUAGGUACUCCAUCUUUAAAAGUAUAAUUAGCAAGCAUGGUGGAGAUUUCAGCUUCCGAUAUUUUUCUCUUAUUGGUCAUGAUGUCUUUCAUGUACUUUGCAUAAGGAGGCAUUUUUAAGAUAUCAGUCAAGCAAGUACGCAAAAAGACUGGCCUCAGCAUUUCAGCAAAGCGUUCAAAUUCUUCAUCAUCUUUAUUUUUAGUUGACUUAGGUGGAAAGGGCAUAGGUUUUUGAACCCAUGGUUCUCUUUCCUUACCAUGUUUUCUAGCAACAAAGUCUCUUUUAUCAUAUCUUUUAUUCUUGGGUUGUGGGUUAUGAAGAUCGACAACUGAUUCUAUCUCAACAUCAUUGUCUGGUUCUUUAUUAUUAGUUUGAGUGUGUUCAUGAACCUCGUCAUUAUCUUUUUCAUUAUCAGAAGGUGAGUGUUCACUACCAGAUUGAAUUUCAACAUCAAAGAUAGAAACUUCAUUAUCAUUAUCAGGAGGUUUUUCUAAUCAGGUUCACUAUAGGCAGGCAAAGUCCUAUUAUCUUUCUUCUUCUUUUUCUUUUUAGAAGGACUAGGUGCAUCAGUGUGAAUUCUUUGAGAGUCUUGUUCAAUUCUCUUUGGGUGUCCCUCGGGAUAAAGUGGUUCAUGAGUCAUUUUACCUCCUCUAGUUGCUACUCUAACAUUAUAUUAUUGUUCAUUUCAUCAAGCAACUCUCUUUGAGAUUUAGCAACUUGUUCUAAUUGAGUUUGAACCAUAGAGGCAUUCUUUCCUACACCUCUAACAUCAUUUGAGAUUCUGAAUAACAAGUCACUUAAGCGAGCAAUCAUAUCAGAGUUGUAUUUCAAUUGUUUCAUAACAUUUGUAUUGAAGUGAUCUUUCUUUCUAAUGUAAUUAUCAAACUCAUAAAGGCAUUGGCUAAAAUGUUUAUUAUGAGGAUUAUCACUAUCAUUGAAUUUCAUUAAAGAAUUUACCUCUACCACCUUAGGUGGUGGCGGUGUAUCAAGCCUAUGCAUUUCUUCAAUAGGUGGUAAAUUUUUAACAUCAUCUCCUUUAAUACCUUUUUCCUCCAUAGAUUUCUUUGCCUCUUGCAUGUCUUCAGGACUGAGAUAUAAAAUACCCCUCUUCUUCAGAGUGGGUUUAGGCGGUGUUUCAGGAGGAGUCCAAUCAUCAUAAUUUUUCAAUAUGUUAUUCAAUAAUUCUUCAGCUUGCUCAAUAGUUCGUUCCCUGGAAACAUAACCAGCACAACUAUCUAGAAAAUCCCUAGAAGCAUCGGUUAUUCCAUUAUAGAAGAUAUCGAGUAUUUCAUUUUUCUUAAGAGGGUGAUCAGGCAAAGCAUUAAGCAAUUGUAGAAGCCUCCCCCAAGCUUGUGGGAGACUCUCUUCUUCAAUUUGCACAAAGUUAAAUAUUUCUUGUAAGGCAUCUUGUUUCUUAUGAGCAGAGAAAUAUUUUUAAGAGAAGUAAUAAAUCAUAUCCUGGGGACUACGCACACAACCAGGAGCAAGAGUAUUGUACCAAGCUUUAGCAUCACUCUUUAAUGAUAAUGGACUAAUUUGAGGAUAUAGUAAUAGCGAAUCUUCUCAUCAUGAGCAAAAAGGGUGGCUAUGUCAUUCAACUUGGUAAGAUGUACCACAAAAGUUUCAAUUUCAUAACCAUGGAAAGGAUCAGAUUCAACCAAAGUAAUUAACUCUGGGUCGAUAGAGAAUUCAUAAUCCUUAUCAUCAAUAAAGAUAGGUGAAGUAGCAAACUUAGGAUCACAUUUCGUUCUAGCAUUCAAAGAUCUUUCUUUAUACUUGCAUAAUAAUUUUUCUAGAUCAUCUCUAUCCUUACAAGUAAGAAUAUCUCUAGUUGCCUCCUCACCAAUAACAUAACCUUCCGGUAUCUUUGGCAAUUCAUAUCUAGGAGGGCUAGUUCUAAUAGGUGUUUCAAGAUUUUCAAUUUGAAGCUCAUCAUCAGUUUCAACAAUAUCAUGUUGUCUUACUCUAGCAAUCUAUUCAUCAAGAAAUUCACCUAGUGGCACAUUAUCAUCAAGCAAGGUACCCGCAUCAUCAUGAGUAGCAUUCAUAGUAGAAGUAGCAUCAUCAAUAACUUGUGACAUAUCAGCAUUAAUAGCAUGUGGUGGUGUUGCAAGUUUACUUAUAACAUAAGGUGAAUCUAAAGCGGAGCUGGAUGGCAGUUCCUUACCUCCCCUCAUCUUAGAGGGAAAAAUAUUAGUCUUAGCAUCCUUCAGAUUCUUCAUAAUGAUAAUUUGAUAAUAAUUCCAAGUGAUUCGACAAAUAUAACUAUGUUCCCCGGCAACGGCGCCAGAAAAAGGUCGUGAUAACCCACAAGUAUAUGGGAUCGCAACAGUUCUCGAGGGUAGGGUAUUCAACCCAAAUUUAUAGAUUCAGCACAAGGGGAGCCAAAGAAUAUUUGCAAGUAUUAGUAGCUGAGUUGUCAAUUUAACCACACCUGGAGAUUAAUUAUCUGCAACAAAGUGAUCAGUAGCAUAGUAAUAUGAUAGUUUUGAUAAUAGUGGUAGCAGCAAUAGUAAUGGUAAUAGUGAUAGUAAUGGUUUUGUAACAGUAACCAUGGUAACAACAUUAGUAACUUAGCAAGAACAAUAUGUAGGAAAAUCGUAGGCAUUUGAUCAGCGAUUUGUUGGAUGAUAUUCAUCAUGAGACAGUCAUAACCUAGGGCGAUACAGCACUAGCUCCAAUUCAUAAAUAUAAUGUAGGCAUGUAUUCUGUAAAUGGUCAUACGUGCUUAUGGAAAGAACUUGCAUGACAUCUUUGUCCUACCCUCCCAUGGCAGCGGAGUCCUAUUGGAAACUAAGGGAUAUUAAGGCCUCCUUUUAAUAGAGAACCAGAACAAAACAUUAGCACACGGUGAAUACAUGAACUCCUCAAACUACGGUCAUCACCGAGAGUGGUCCCGACUAUUGUCACUCCGGGGUUGCCGGAUCAUAACACGUAGUAGGUGACUAUAACUUGCAAGAUCGAAUCUAGAACAUGGAUAUAAUGGUGAUAACAUAAAUGAUUCAGAUCUGAAAUCAUGGCACCUAGGCCAAAGUGACAAGCAUUAAGCAUGGCAAAGUCAUAGCAACAUCAAUCUCAGAACAUAAUGGAUACUAGGGAUCAAGCCCUAAAAAACUAAAUCGAUUACAUGAUGAAUCUCAUCCAACUCCUUACCGACCAGCGAGCCUACGAAGGAAUUACUCACUCCCGGUGGAAGCAUCAUGGAAUUGGCGAUGGAGAAGGGUUGGUGAUGACGAAGAUCGAAGAUCCCCCUCUCCGGACCCCCAAACGGACUCCAGACCUAGCCUCCCGAUGAAGAACAGGAGAUGGAGGCAGCUCCGUCUCAUGAAACGCGAUAAUUCUUUCUCCCUAAUUGGGUCUGCGGGGCCACCAGGUGGGGAUAGCCCACCUGGGCGCGCCUGGAGGGGGUGGCGCGCCCUGGUGGGUUGUGCCCAGCUAGCUGCCCCCCUCCAGUGGUUCUUGGCUCCAGAAAUUAUCUUUUAUUAUACAAAAAAUCCUCGCAAAGUUUCCUUCCAUUCCGAGAACUUUUAUUUCUGCAAACAAACAACACCAUGGUAGUUGUGGUGAAAACAGCGUCAGUCCGGGUUAGUUUCAUUCAAAUCAUGCAAAUUAGAGUCCAAAACAAGAGGAAAAGCGUUAGGAAAAGUAGAUACGACGGAGACGUAUCAAUGUGCCACAACAGUUUCAGAUUCAUAACCAUGGAAAUGGUAAGAUUCAACCAAAGUAAUUAACUCAAGAUCGAUAGAGAAUUCAUAAUCCUUAUCAAGAUAGGUGAAGUAGCAAACUUAGGAUCAUAUUGCAUUCUAGCAUUUAAAGAUUUUUCUUUCCACUUGCAUAAUAAUUUCUUAAGAUCAUCUCUAUCCUUACAAGCAAUAAAUUCCCUAGCUACCUCUCCAUCUAUAACAGAGCCCUCUGGCAUAACAGGAAGUUCAUAUCUAGGAGAGCUAGGUCUAACAGGUGUUUCAAAGUUUUUAGUUUCAAUAAUUUCAUCAGUUUCAGAAAUAUCAUCAUCUUCAGAAUAAUCAGUAAUUCUAACUCUAGCCAGAUGUUCAUCAAGUAAUUCACCCAGUGGCACAGUUUUAUCAGGCAAAGUAGUAGCAUCAUAAGCAUCAUUCAUAGCAGAAGUAACAUCAUCAAUAACAUGUGACAUAUCAGAAUCAAUAGCAGGUGUAGGUGUCGCAAGCUUACUCAAAACAGAAGGUGAAUCAAGUGCUGAGCUAGAUGGUCGUUCCUUACCUUCCCUUGUAGUAGAGGGAAAAAUCUUGGUUCUAGUAUCUUUCAAAUUGCUCAUAGUGAUCAACAGAUAUAAAUCCCAAGUGACUCAAAGAAUAGAGCUAUGCUCCCCGGCAACGGCGCCAGAAAAAGGUCUUGAUAACCCACAAGUAUAGGGGAUCGCAACAGUUUUCGAAGGUAGAGUAUUCAACCCAAAUUUAUUGAUUCAACACAAGGGAAGCCAAAGAAUAUUCUCAAGUAUUAGCAGUUGAGUUGUCAAUUCAACCACACCUGAAAGACUUAAUAAACGCAGCAAAGUGUUUAGUAGCAAAGUAGUAUGGAUGUAACGGUAACGGUGGCAAAAGUAACAGUAGCAGUUUUGUAGCAAUCGUAACAGUGCAAGGGAAAAUUAACUAAGCAAAGAUCAAUAUGUGAAAAGCUCGUAGGCAAUGGAUCAAUGAUGGAUAAUUAUGCCGGAUGUCAUUCAUCAUGCAACAGUUAUAACCUAGGGUGACACAGAACUAGCUCCAAUUCAUCAAUAAAUGUAGGCAUAUAUUACGAAUAUAGUCAUACGUGCUUAUGGAAAAGAACUUGUAUGACAUCUUUUGUCCUACCAUCCCAUGGCAGCAGGGUCCUAGUGGAAACUAAGGGAUAUUAAGGCCUCUUUUUAAUAGAGAACCGGACCAAAGCAUUAGCACUUAGUGAAUACAUGAACUCCUCAAACUAUGGUCAUCACCGGGAAGUGUACCGACUAUUGUCACUCCGGGGUUGCUGGAUCAUAACAUGUAGUAGGUGACUAUAACUUGCAAGAUCGGAUCAAGAACACAAAUAUAUUCAUGAAAACAUGAAGUGUUCAGAUCUGAAUUCAUGGCACUCAUGCCCUAGUGACAAGCAUUAAGCAUAGCAAAGUCAUAGCAACAUCAAUCUUAGAACAUAGUGGAUAUUAGGGGGUCAAACCCUAACAAAACUAACUCGGUUACAUGAUAAAUCUCAUCCAACCCAUCACCAUACAACAAGCCCACGAUGGAAUUACUCAUGCACGGCAGUGAGCAUCAUGAAAUUGAUGAUGGAGGAUGGUUGAUGAUGACGACGGCGAUGGAUUCCACUCUCUGGAGCCCCGAACAGACUCCAGAUCUGCUUUCCCGAUGAAGAACAGGAGGCGGCGACGGCUCCGUAUCGUAAAACACGAUGAAUCCUUCUCUCUGAUUUUUUCUCCCCAAACAUGAAUAUAUGGAGUUGGAGUUGAGGUCGGUGGAGGUCCAAGGGACCCACAAGGCAGGGGGCGCACCCUCCACCCUUGUCGACAGCCGGUGGGUACCCCUCUGUUGAUUCUUUCGCCAAUAUUUUUUAUUUAUUCCAAAAAUGUUCUCCGUGAAGUUUUAGGUCAUUCCGAGAACUUUUAUUUCUGCACAAAAAUAACACCAUGGCAAUUCUGCUAAAAACAGCGUCAGUCCGAGUUAGUUCCAUUCAAAUCAUGAAAAUUAGAGUCCAAACAAGGGUAAAAGAGUUUGGAAAAGUAGAUACGAUGGAGACAUAUCAAGAUGGAUGCUCAUUUUGGUUUUGGGAAGGCGAAUACAUUGAUUUAUUGAUAGAAAGAAACUUAAUAGAUGUUCGUGCACUUCUUAGUAGACUUGAGGCUAAUGAUGCAGUUGCAUGUGCAAUUAGAGAAGAAAGUAGAGGGGAAGCAACAUCUACUUCUUUAGAACCAAAGGAGAAGAAUGAAAGAUGCAAGAUCAAGAAUUCGCAGAUCAACAACGAAUGCAUAGAGAAGAUAUUACUCCAACUAGUGGGAGUAGCUAUGGAAGUUGAAUAUUUUCUAAAAUGCAUAAUUGUGGUUCUUGUUUUCUUUGGUCUUACUAUUCUAGCAAAGAUUUGCUGAAUUACUAUGUAUCCAAUGUCGUUGAAGAAAAUAAAAAAGCAAAGAAAUGUAUUUUCAUAUGUGAAAUUGAAAUGCAAAUUACAGAUUUGCGGGCCAGCAGGGGCGGCGCCCGAGCAGACCCCGCAAAGCCGACCCGUAAAAGAGCAUAUUCCACGAAUAUCCUUUUUUAUGUGUCCGUUUUGUGGGUCUAACUCUGCCGCCGCCUGCACCGGCCGCAAAGCCGUUUUCCCACGAACUGUAUACGCGUUUUGCCAGUCGAUGUUAUACGGGGUCUUCUAGAGAUGCUCUAAGGUUCCUAUUUCACCUUUAUUCUCACCACCCCUUCGUCCAACCUUCCUUGUAUGAUAAUAAAUCAACUUAUUUACUUAUCUUCUGAGCCAGUUCUACUAUAAUUUUACUUACCAAACUUCGGAUCAAAAUGUAAGGUAUCUCUAUUAUCUAUUUAUACUGUUGGGGAACGUAGUAAUUUCAAAAAAAUUCCUACACACACGCAAGAUCAUGGUGAUGCAUAGCAACUAGAGGGGAGAGUGUGUCCACGUACCCUCGUAGACCGAAAGCGGAAGUGUUAUGACAACGCGGUUGAUGUAGUCGUACGUCUUCACGAUCCGACCGAUCCAAGUACCGAACGUACGGCACCUCCGAGUUCAGCACACGUUCAGCUCGAUGACAAUCCCCGGACUCCGAUCCAGCAAGGUGUCGGGGAUGAGUUUCGUCAGCACGACGGCGUGGUGAUGAUGAUGAUGUUCUACCGACGCAGGGCUUCGCCUAAGCACUACAACGAUAUGACCGAGGUGGAAUAUGGUGGAGGGGGGUACCGCACACGGCUAAGGAACGAUCACGAAGAUCAACUUGUGUGUCAUGGGGUGCCCCCCUGCCCCUGUAUAUAAAGGAGGGAGGGGGGAGGUGCGGCCGGCCCCCUAGGGGUGUGCCUGGAGGAGUCCUACUCCCACCGGGAGUAGGACUCCCCCCUCUUGCCUUGUAGGAGAAGGAAAGGGGCAGGGGAAAGAGGAAAGGGGGCGCUGCCCCCCCCCCCUUCCUUGUCCUAUUCGGACUAGGGGGAGGGGGUGCGCGGCCUGCCCUGGCCGGCCCUCCUCUUCUCCCUUAGGGCCCAUGUAGGCCCAUUAACCCUCGAGGGGGGUUCCGGUAACCCCCCGGUACUCCGGUAAAAUCCUGAUUUCACCUGGAACGAUUCCGAUAUCCAAAUAUAGGCUUCCAAUAUAUCAAUCUUUAUGUCUCGACCAUUUCGAGACUCCUCGUCAUGUCCAUGAUCAUAUCCGGGACUCCGAACAACCUUCGGUACAUCAAAACUUAUAAACUCAUAAUAAAAAUGUCAUCGUAACGUUAAGCAUGCGGACCCUACAGGUUCGAGAACUAUGUAGACAUGACCUAGAACUGUUUCCGGUCAAUAACCAAUAGCGGAACCUGGAUGCUCAUAUUGGCUCCCACACAUUCUACGAAGAUCUUUAUCGGCCAGACCGCAUAACAACAUACGUUGUUCCCUUUGUCAUCGGUAUGUUACUUGCCCGAGAUUCGAUCGUCGGUAUCUCAAUACCUAGUUCAAUCUCGUUACCGGCAAGUCUAUUUACUCGUUCAAUAAUACACCAUCUCACAACUAACUCAUUAGUUGCAAUGCUUUCAAGGCUUUAAGUGAUGUGCAUUACCGAGAGGGCCCAGAGAUACCUCUUCGACAAUUAGAGUGACAAAUCCUAAUCUCGAAAUACGCCAACCCAACAAGUACCUUUGGAAACACCUGUAGAGCACCUUUAUAAUCACCCAGUUACGUUGUGAUGUUUGGUAGCACACAAAGUGUUCCUCUGGUAAACGGGAGUUGCAUAAUCUCAUAGUCAUAGGAACAUGUAUAAGUCAUGAAGAAAGCAAUAGUAGAAAACUAAACGAUCAAGUGCUAAGCUAACGGAAUGGGUCAAGUCAAUCACAUCAUUCUCUUAAUGAUAUGAUCCCGUUAAUCAAAUGACAACACAUGUCUAUGGUCAGGAAACAUAACCAUCUUUGAUCAACGAGCUAGUCAAGUAGAGGCAUACUAGUGACACUCUGUUUGUCUAUGUAUUCACACAAGUAUUAUGUUUCCGGUUAAUACAAUUCUAGCAUGAAUAAUAAACAUUUAUCAUGAAAUAAGGAAAUAAAUAAUAACUUUAUUAUUGCCUCUAGGGCAUAUUUCCUUCAGUCUCCCACUUGCACUAGAGUCAAUAAUCUAGUUCACAUCAUUAUGUGAUUCAACACCAAUAUUCACAUCUGUAUGUGAUUAAUACCCAUAGUUCACAUCAUCAUGUGAUUAACACCCAAAGGGUUUACUAGAGUCAAUAAUCUAGUUCACAUCGCUAUGUGAUUAACACCCAAAGAGCACUAAGGUAUGAUCAUGUUUUGCUCAUGAGAGAAGUUUAGUCAACAGGUCUGUCACAUUCAGAGCCGUAUGUAUUUUGCAAAUAUUCUAUGUCUACAAUGCUCUGCACGGAGCUACUCUAGCUAAUUUCGCCCACUUUCAAUAUGUAUCCAGAUUGAGACUUAGAGUCAUCUGGAUCGGUGUAAAAGCUUGCAUCGAUGUCACUCCUUACUACGAACUCUUUUAUCACCUCCAUAAUCGAGAAACAUAUCCUUAUUCCACUAAGGAUAAUUUUGACCAAUGUCCAGUGAUCUACUCCUAGAUCACUAUUGUACUCCCUCGCCAAACCAGGGGAGAGUAUACAAUAGAUCUGGUCCAUAGCAUGGCAUACUUUUAUAGAACAUGCAUAGGGAAUGACUUUCAUUCUCUUUCUAUUUUCUGUCGUGGUCAGGAUUUGAGUCUUACUCAAUUUCAUACCUUUGCAACACAGGCAAGAACUCUUUCUUUGACUCUUCCAUUUUGAACUACUUCAAAAUCUUGUCAAGGUAUAUACUCAUUGAAAAUCUUAUCAAGCGUCUUGAUCUAUCUCAAUAGAUCUUGAUGCUCAAUAUGUAAGUAGCUUUACUGAGGUCUUUCUUUUAAAGAACUCCUUUCAAACACUUCUUUUAUGCUUUCCAGAAAAAUUAUACAUCAUUUCUGAUCAACAAUAUGUCACUCACAUAUACUUAUCAGAAAGGAAGUAGUGCUCCCGCUCACUUUAUUGUAAAUACAGCCUUCACUGCAAGUCCGUAUAAAACUAUAUGCUUUGAUCAACUUAUCAAAGCGUAUAUUCCAACUCCGAGAUGCUUGCACCAGUCCAUAGAUGGAUCGCUGGAGCUUGCACAAUUUGUUAGCACCUUUGGAAUUGACAAAACCUUCUGGUUGCAUCAUAUACAACACUUCUUUAAAAAAUCCAUUAAGGAAUGCAGUUUUGACAUCCUUUGUCAGAUUUCAUAAAAUGUGGCAAUUGCUAAUAUGAUUCGGAUAGACUUUAAGCAUCGAUACGAGUGAGAAAAUCUCAUCGUAUUCAACACUUUGAACUUGUCAAAAACCUUUUGCAACAAGUCGAGCUUUGUAGAUAGUAACACUACUAUCAGUGUUCGUCUUCCUCUUGAAGAUCCAUUUAUUUUCUAUGGCUUGCCGAUCCUUGGGCAAGUCAACCAAAGUCCACACUUUGUUCUCAUACAUGGAUCCCAUCUCAGAUUUCAUGGCCUCAAGCCAUUUUGCGGAAUCUGGGCUCAUCAUCGCUUCCUCAUAGUUCGUAGGUUCAUCAUGGUCUAGUAACAUGACUUCCAGAACAUGAUUACCGUACCACUCUGGUGCGGAUCUUACUCUGGAAGACCUACGAGGUUUGGUAGCAACUUGAUCUGAAGUUUCAUGAUCAUCAUCAUUAACUUCCUCACUAAUUGGUGUAGGAAUCACUGGAACUGAUUUCUGUGAUGAACUACUUUCCAAUAAGGGAGAAGGUACAAUUACCUCAUCAAGUUAUACUUUCCUCCUACUCACUUCUUUCAAGAGAAACUCCUUCUCUAGAAAGGAUCCAUCUUAGCAACGAAUAACUUGCCUUCGGAUCUGUGAUAGAAGGUGUACCCAAUAGUUACCUUUGGGUAUUCUAUGAAGACGCACUUCUCCGAUUUGGGUUUGAGCUUAUCAGGUGAAAACUUUUUCACAUAAGCAUCGCAACCCCAAACUUUAAGAAACGACAACUUUGGUUUGUCGCCAAACCACAGUUCAUAAGGCGUCAUCUCAACGGAUUUUGAUGGUGCCCUAUUUAAAGUGAAUGCAGCUGUCUCUAAUGCAUAACCCCAAAACGAUAGUGGUAAAUCAGUAAGAUACAUCAUAGAUUGCACUAUAUCCAAUAAAGUACGGUUAUGACAUUCGGACACACCAUAACGCUGUGGUGUUCCAUGUGGCGUGAGCUGUGAAACUAUUCCACAUUGUUUUAUAUGAAGGCCAAACUCGUAACUCAAAUAUUCUUCUCCACGAUUAGAUCGUAGAAACUUUAUUUUCUUGUUACGAUGAUUCUCCACUUCACUCUGAAAUUCUUUGAACUUUUCAAAUGUUUCAGACUAGUGUUUCAUUAAGUAGAUAUACUCAUAUCUGCUCAAAUCAUCUUGUGAAGGUCAGAAAAAUAACGAUACCUGCCACGAGCAUCAACACUCAUUGGACCGCAUACAUCGGUAUGUAUUAUUUCCAAUAAGUCACUAGCCCGUUCCAUUGUUCCGGAGAACAGAGUUUUAGUCAUCUUGCCCAAAAGGCAUGGUUCACAAGCAUCAAAUGAUUCAUAAUCAAGUGAUUCCAAAAGUCCAUUUUUAUGGAGUUUCUUCAUGCGCUUUACACCGAUAUGACCUAAACGGCAGUGCCACAAAUAUGUUGCACUAUCAUUAUCAACUUUGCAUCUUUUGGCAUCAAUAUUAUGAAUAUGUGUAUCACUACGAUCGAGAUCCAACAAACUAUUUUCAUUGGGUGUAUGACCAUUGAAGGUUUUAUUCAUGUAAACAGAACAACAAUUAUUCUCUGACUUUAAAUGAAUAACCGUAUUGCAAUAAACAUGAUCAAAUCAUAUUCAUGCUCAACGCAAAUGCCAAAUAACAUUUAUUUAGGUUUAACACUAAUCCCGAAAGUAUAGGGAGUGUGCGAUGAUGAUCAUAUCAAUCUUGGAACCACUUCCAACACACAUCGUCACUUCACCCUCAACUAGUCUCUGUUUAUUCCGUAACUCCUGUUUCGAGUUACUAAUUUUUAGCAACCAAACAAGUAUCAAAUACUCAGGGGCUACUAUAAACACUAGUAAGGUACACAUCAAUAACCUGUAUAUCAAAUAUACCCUUGUUCACUUUGCCAUCCUUCUUAUCCACCAAAUAUUCAGUGCAUUUCCGCUUCUAGUGACCAUUUCCUUUGCAGUAUAAUCACUCAGUUUUAGGCUUUGUUCCAGCUUUGGGCUUCUUCGCGGGAGUGACAACUUGCUUGCCAUUAUACUUGAAGUUCCCUUUCUUUCCCUUUGCCCUUUUCUUGAAACUAGUGAUCUUGUUAAUCAUCAGCACUUGAUGCUCUUUUCUUGAUUUCUACCUUCGUUGAUUUCAGCAUCACGAAGAGCUCGGGAAUCAUUUUCGUCAUCCCUUGCAUUAUAGUUCAUCACGAAGUUCCAGUAACUUGGUGAUGGUGACUAGAGAACUCUGCCAAUCACUAUCUUAUCUGGAAGAUUGACUCCCACUUGAUUCACGUGAUUGUUAGUACUCGGACAAUCUAAGCACUUGCUCACUAGUUGAGCAAUUCUCCUCCAUCUUUUAGCUAUAGAACUUGUUGGCGACUUCAUAUCUCUCAACUCGGGUAUUUGCUUGAAAUAUUAACUUCAACUCCUAGAACAUCUCAUAUGGUCCAUGACGUUCAAAACGUCUUUGAAGUCCCGAUUCUAAGCCGUUAAGCAUGGUGCACUAAACUAUCAAGUAGUCAUCAUAUUGAGCUAGCCAAACGUUCAUAACGUCUGCAUCUGCUCCUGCAAUAGGUCUGUCACCUAUCGGUGCAUUAAGGAGACAAUUCUUCUGUGCAGCAAUGAGGAUAAACCUCAGAUCACGAAUCCAAUCCGCAUCAUUGCUACUAACAUCUUUCAACACAAUUUUCUCUAGGAACAUAUCAAAAUAAACAUAUGAAAGCAACAACGCAAGCUAUUGAUUUACAACAUAAUUUGCAAAAUACUACCAGGACUAAGUUCAUGAUAAAUUUAAGUUCAAUUAAUCAUAUUACUAAAGAACUCCCACUUAGAUAGACAUCCCUCUAAUCCUCUAAGUGAUUACGUGAUCCAUAUCAACUACACCAUGUCCGAUCAUCACGUGAGAUGGAGUAGUUUCAACGGUGAACAUCAAUAUGUUGAUCAUAUCUACUAUAUGAUUCACGCUCGACCUUUUGGUCUCCGUGUCCCGAGACCAUAUCUGUUAUAUGCUAGGCUCAUCAAGUUUAACCUGAGUAUUCCGCGUGUGCAACUGUUUUGCACCCGUUGUAUUUGAAAGUAGAGCCUAUCACACCCGAUCAUCACGUGGUGUCUCAGCACGAAGAACUUUCGCAACGAUGCAUACUUAGGGAGAACACUUUUACUAUGAUAAUUUAGUGAGGGAUCAUCUUAUAGUGCUACCGUCAAUCAAAGCAAGAUAAGAUGCAUAAAAGAUAAACAUCACAUGCAAUCAGUAUAAGUGAUAUGAUAUGGCCAUCAUCAUCUUGUGCUUGUGAUCUCCAUCUUCGAAGCACCGUCAUGAUCACCAUUAUCACCGGCGCGACACCUUGAUCUCCAUCGUAGCAUCGUUGUCGUCUUGCCAAUCUUAUGUUUCUACGACUAUCGCUACCGCUUAGUGAUAAAGUAAAGCAUUACAGGGCGAUUGCAUUGCAUACAAUAAAGCGGCAACCAUAUGGCUCCUGCCAGUUGCCGAUAACUCUGUUACAAAACAUGAUCACCUCAUACAAUAAAAUUUAGCAUCAUGUCUUGACCAUAUCACAUCACAACAUGCCCUGCAAAAACAAGUUAGACGUCCUCUACUUUGUUGUUGCAAGUUUUACGUGGCUGCUACGGGCUUAGCAAGAACCGUUCUUACCUACGCAUCAAAACCACAACGAUAGUUUGUCAAGUUGGUGCUAUUUUAACCUUCGCAAGGACCGGGCGUAGCCACACUCGGUUCAACUAAAGUGAGAGAGAUAGACACCCACCAGUCACCUUUAAGCACGAGUGCUCAUAACAGUGAAACCAGUCUCGCGUAAGCGUAUGCGUAAUGUCAGUCCGGGCCGCUGUAAGAACAUGCGGUGCCCCAUGUUUGGUUUUGGCAAUUGAUGACAAUCUCUAUGGACUAAUGGUUGCCUUGAGUUAUAUUUGAAGGGUUUGUCCAUAGGCUUUUCUUGGAGUCCAUAUGUUGUUUUCAAGGAGAGUUUGUGAUGACCAAGUUGCUAUUAAGGAAUUAUCCAAAGAUUGGUCUUAUGAGUGUUGAGCUUAUUGCAAGCAUGUCUUGAAGAAGAAGAUUGUGUGAUCAUUCAUGUUUACCUUCAAGACAUCAUCCAAAUGAAGAGAGUUGGAAAGAUUCAACGUUGAUCAAGACUAAGUCAAAGAAUGAAUCAAGUUGAUCAACACACAAAGCAUAGAAGAUGUACCGAGAGGGAUCAAGCGAUCCCAUGGUAUGGUAAGCAUGGUCAAUUACGCUUUGUGUACUAACCCAUGGUCUUCGUGAGAGUUCUUUGUGGGGUUAGGUUGCGGUGUGCAAGCUCAAGUUGAAUCAUCACGAAGAGAUCAUAUGCUUGAAGCUUGCCGUCCAUUGUGGCGACAAUGGACUUGUGAAGAUGUGCAGAAGAGUGGCUCACCCAUAGUGGAGUAUGGGGGAGCAAUCAACUAGUCUUCUUCGAGCCAAUGCAAUCAAGAAAGGUGGUCCAACUUGAGGGAGUCAAGAUCGUCAUCAUCUAGCUCAAGUGGACCAUGUGCAAGGCAAAGGUUUGCCCUUGAUAGGUUUUCUAUUUUACCGGUCUCAUGGUAGUUGUGGGAGACCGGGUUAUAGGAUCGUUUGCCGUACUAUCAAGGGGGGCUCUCGAUGAGUUGCUUGAUCGUAUCGUUCAUAGAGAGCUCAAACCAUUGCAUCCUUGCAUCAUCUUUUUGGUUCUUGUUUGGGUCUUCUCCUUGUGAGAUUUGGAGCUUAUGGUCAUUUUUAUGACAAGCUCGAGUUCAUCGAAAACGGAGUUCUCAUGCAUCUUCUAUGACGUUUUCGAUGUUGGAGGGUAUGCCGGUUCUUCUCGGUUGGAGGUUUCACUCCUUUGUUUGCUAAGCAUACCUCACCUGCCUCUUCUCACUAUAACCAACAAGCUUGAGUUUGCUCAAUUCGGAGCUCAUAUGAAGAAGUUAUGGCAGUUCUGGUUUUCCUUGGAGUAUUUUUUGUUUUCGUGGUUGAGGCAUAAGGUUGGCCCCAGUGGUAGUACCGCGACCACAGCGGUAGUACCGCCGAAGCUCCCCAGCGGUAGUACCGCUCUCAGAGCGGUAGUACCGCUCCAAGCGGUAGUACCGCUCUCCAAACGGUAGUACCGCUUGGGAUUUUCGGCCGUAGUACCGCUGUGCGUCUGGGCUAGUUCCGCCUCGAUUCUCGUACAAAGUUUUUCGUGUCGGGUUUUGCGGCACUAAGGGCGGCAGUAGGAGCGGUAGUACCUCCCUAAGAGGUAGUACCGCUCUUCCCUAGCGGUAGUACCGCCCUGGGGUCAUGGCCCUGGCAGCGCGGCAGUACCGCUGGGUUGAGCGGUAGUACCGCCCGGAGCGGUAGUACCGCCCUUCCCUAGCGGUAGUACCGCUCUGUGCGGGGAUGUUCAGUGGGGUAACGGUUGGUUUUUCCCCCUCCUAUAAAAGGGGGUCUUCUUCCCCAUUGAACCUUAUCCUUUGAGCUCGUGUUCUUCCCCCAUUGUUGACCUUCUCCGAGCUUGCUAUCUCUCAAUCCCUCCAUGGAUUCUUGCUUGUUUUUGGGGGAAAAGAGAGAGGAGAUCUAGAUCCACAUUUCCACCAAUGACUUUCUCCUCUAUGUGAGGGGAACCCCUUGGAUCUAGUUCUUGGAGUUCUUGGUGUUCUCCUUCUUGUUCUUCCUCUCAUUUUCCUCCCUAGCAUUAGUUGCUUUGGUGGGAUUUGAGAGAGAAGGACUUGGGCACUCUGUGUGCCCUUCCCAUUGCAUUUGUGCAUCGGGUUGAGUUCUCCACGGUGAUACAUGGAAGUUACAAGUUGAGAAGCUUAUUACUCUUGGGUGCUUGGUGCCCUUGAGCUUGUUCCUCUUGGGUGCUUGGGCGCCCUAGUCGGUUGGUGGUGUUCGGAGCUCAAUCAUUGUGCUGUAAAGCUCCGGGCAAGCGUCGGGGUCUCCAAUUAGGUUGUGGAGAUCGCCCCGAGCAAUUUGACGGGUUCCGGUGACCGCCCCCAAGGGUUGCCAAAGUGUACGGGUUCGGUGACCACCCCCAAGGGUUGCAAAAGUGUACGGGUUCGGUGACCGCCCCCAAGGGUUGCCAUUUGUACGGGUUCGGUGACCGCCCUCAAGGGUCCCUUAGUGAAAUCACGGCAUCUUGCAUUGUGCGAGGGAGUGAGGAGAUUACGGUGGCCUAGUGGCUUCUUGGGGAGCAUUGUGCCUCCACACUGCUCCAAACGGAGAUUAGCAUCCGCAAGGGUGUGAACUUCGGGAUACAUCGUCGUCUCCGCGUGCCUCGGUUAUCUCUUACCCGAUCCCCUUUACCUAUGCACUUUACUUUGUGAUAGCCAUAUUGUUCUUUGUCAUAUAUCUUGCUAUCACAUAGUUGCUCAUAUUGCUUAGCAUAAGUUGUUGGUGCACAUAGGUGAGCCUAGUUGUUUUAGGUUUUGUGCUUGACAAAUUAACCGCUAGGUUUAUUCCGCAUUUGUUCAAGCCUAAACCGUAAUUAUUUUAAAAUGCCUAUUCACCCCCCCCCCUCUAGGCGACAUCCACGAUCUUACAGCCGCUUCAUCCAACAAUACCGCUGAACCAAAGUAUGACAUGCUGGUAAGCAGUAUGACUUAUAUCGCCCACAACUCACUUGGGUUCUACUCAUGCAUAUGACAUCUACGCAUAAAACCUGGCUCGGAUGCCACUGUUGGGGAACGUAGUAAUUUCAAAAAAAAUCCUACGCACACGCAAGAUCAUGGUGAUGCAUAGCAACGAGAGGGGAGAGUGUGUCCACAUACCCUCGUAGACCAAAAGCGGAAGUGUUAUGCCAACGCGGUUGAUGUAGUCAUACGUCUUCACGAUCCGACCGAUCCAAGUACCGAACAUACGGCACCUCCGAGUUCAGCACACGUUCAGCUCGAUGACGAUCCCCGGACUCCGAUCCAGCAGGGUGUCGGGAAUGAGUUUCGUUAGCACGACGGCGUGGUGACGAUGAUGAUGUUCUAUCGAUGCAGGGCUUUGCCUAAGCACUGCAACAAUAUGACCAAGGUGGAAUAUAGUGGAGGGGGGCACCGCACACGGCUAAGGAACGAUCACGAAGAUCAACUUGUGUGUCAUGGGGUGCCCCCCUGCCCCCGUAUAUAAAGGAGGGAGGGGGUGCGGUCGGCCCCCUAGGGGUGCACCUGGAGGACUCCCCCCUCUUGCCUUGUAGGAGAAGGAAAGGGGGAGGGGAAAGAGGAAAGGGGGCGCCGCCCCCCCCCCCCCCUUCCUUGUCCUAUUCGGACUAGGGGGGAGGGGGCGCGCAGCCUGCCCUGGCCGGCCCUCCUCUUCUCCCUUAGGGCCCAUGUAGGCCCAUUAACCCCCAGGGGGGUUCCGGUAACCCCCCGGUACUCCGGUAAAAUCCCGAUUUCAUCCGGAACGAUUCCGAUAUCCAAAUAUAGGCUUCCAAUAUGUCAAUCUUUAUGUCUCAACCAUUUCGAGACUCCUCGUCAUGUCCAUGAUCAUAUCCGGGACUCCGAACAACCUUCAGUACAUCAAAACAUAUAAACUCAUAAUAAAACUAUCAUCGUAACGUUAAGCGUGCGGACCCUACGGGUUCGAGAACUAUGUAGACAUGACCUAGAACUGUUUUCGAUCAAUAACCAAUAGCGGAACCUGGAUGCUCAUAUUGGCUCCCACACAUUCUACGAAGAUCUUUAUCGGUCAGAUCGCAUAACAACAUACGUUGUUUCCUUUGUCAUCGGUAUGUUACUUGCCCGAGAUUCGAUCGUCGGUAUCUCAAUACCUAGUUCAAUCUCGUUACCGGCAAGUCUCUUUACUCGUUCCGUAAUACACCAUCUCACAACUAACUCAUUAGUUGCAAUGCUUGCAAGGCUUUAAGUGAUGUGCAUUACCGAGAGGGCCCAGAGAUACCUCUCCGACAAUCGGAGUGACAAAUCCUAAUCUCGAGAUACGUCAACCCAACAAGUACCUUUGGAAACACCUGUAGAGCACCUUUAUAAUCACCCAGUUACGUUGUGACGUUUGGUAGCACACAAAGUGUUCCUCCGGUAAAUGGGAGUUGCAUAAUCUCAUAGUCAUAGGAACAUGUAUAAGUCAUGAGGAAAGCAAUAGCAGAAAACUAAACGAUCAAGUGCUAAGCUAACGGAAUGGGUCAAGUCAAUCACAUCAUUCUCUUAAUGAUAUGAUCUCGUUAAUCAAAUGAUAACACAUGUCUAUGGUCAGGAAACAUAACCAUUUUUGAUCAAUGAGCUAGUCAAGUAGAGGCAUACUAGUGACACUCUGUUUGUCUAUGUAUUCACACAAGUAUUAUGUUUCCGGUUAAUACAAUUCUAGCAUGAAUAAUAAACAUUUAUCAUGAAAUAAGGAAAUAAACAAUAACUUUAUUAUUGCCUCUAGGGCAUAUUUCCUUCAUAUACUACUUAAAAAGAACAUAAGGUUAUCAUUUCACCUUUCAUCCCACCAUCCCAUCGUCCAACCUUUCUUGUAUGAUAAUAAAUUAACUUAAAUUACUUUUAUUUAUGCAGUCGCAUUAGUAUAAAUAGUUAAAUCACAAGCCGACAUACUAGAAGAUUUAUAUCCAGUUGCAACACAUGGACAUUGUUUUAUCUAUAUAAAAUAAACGAAAAAACUAACGCCCACACGUGUGGGCAUUUGCACAUCGUCCACACAUCUCCAUCACCACUUAUUUUGCCAUGUAUGAACAGAUGGCAUCAGCAGAAAUUUUUUUGGUUUUCGUCUUAAAAAUGUUUUAUCUCUUAAUUAAAAAAGUGAAUUGAAAAUCCGUUUUCAUCACUAAACCCGCCUAAGCGAGACCUUCAAAACUAGACCCCAUGUUGAUAUGUUUCGACGAAAUUUUUUGUUGCCCGAAAGUUGCCAUGAUGUUUACACUGUAGUUGCCAUAGUGCUUAAACUAAAGUUGCCAUGUGGCAAUUUUAGUUUGUAUAUCGUGGCAAUUUUAGUUUUUUGAUGAUGGCAAUUCCAGUACUUUGAUCAUGAAAAUAUUGUUUUGUAUGAAUCAUAGCAAUUUUAAGUGCAUGUAUCAUGGCAAUUUUAGUUUAUGGUGCAUGGCAAGUCUAGUUUCUUAAUUCUUCGUUUUAUAAUAUGUUAAAAUUUACUUUUAAAUGUAGAAGAAAAUAGCUGAAACAUAUCAUGGCAACUUCAGUGUAAACAUCAUGGCAAUUCAUAUGCAAUAGACACGGCAAAUUUUAACCAAAAUUUUUUGUUGUCGAAAUAUAUUGAUAUGAGAUCUAAUUUCGAAGAUCUUGUCACGAGGGAUUUAAUGAUAAAAACGGAUCUUCAAUCGAAUUUUCAUUUAAGAGUUAAAUCAUUUUAAAAACAGAAAAUUCAAAAAAAAUUCUACAUGCAUGCAUGCGGUGACAUGACGUAGUCUGUGUAUUAUAGGGCGUGUGGGCGAGUUUAGCUCUCACCACACGUGUGGGCGAGUUUAGCUCUCACCACACGUGUGGGUGUUAGCGUUGUCCAAAAUAAAAAGAUAGACUGUGUAAAUACGCGGCAAAAGCUCACGCAGAUGAAUGACCACGUUUUUAUUUAAAGAAAGGAUGACCACGCUCGGGUCGGCUGUCGCGCACGCGAGCUCACCGGAUCGAUCAUGGUCAUGGCCCUCCUCUUCGGUUCCAAGCCAAACAUGUGUGUGGCUAGGUCGUCGCUUUCCGGGAGCACUAAUUAGCAGCCAACCGUGUACGUUCUGACCCCUGAUUCCCAUACUUUUAUCAACCCCAGUAAAAACGAAUCCCCACAUAACAUUUACAUGUGUCAACCAAAUUUAGAGUUCAAAUAUUCAAAUAGCGACAAAUACGUCUUAUAUCAAUCCACGUUUGAAUUAUAUUGCAUUAUGUAAUUAUCUUCAUGUUUGAAUUAUACUGCAUUAUGUAAUUUUUCUCCAUGUUUGAAUUAUACUGUAUUAUUUAAAAUUUUCUUAGGAAGGGUCUAUACUGUUUUCGAAAAAAGGAAGGGGACACAGUCACGGCUCUAUGUGCUGACUCAUCAUAGACACACAUUGUAGGAUGGACUUGAGUACAAGUCAAGUUAUACAUGGUUUAAACCUAUUCUAUCUUUUAUCUCAUUAUAUCUCUAACUCAAGCACAAUUAUACUUCUAACAUUAAAAGCCUAAAAUACGUAGCAGACAUGAUUUAGGAGGGUUUUAUAUAUAAAUAGACAAUUAGGUUUGUAAACUAGAAAAAGAUAGAUGGCCGCCGCCGAAACUUCGACUCAAUUCUCAUCGUCUCCGCCCAUCGUUCUGGCAGUUGCUCGUAUGUGUGUCUCAAUAGUUGUUUCAAGAUGACUUUUGUGCUCCUCAACCACAAUGUAUUAUCGGUGAGAACAAAGGUCAUCUGAUCACGUCAUAGAGGCAAAGCUAUAUUUCAUCCACAGAUUCGGUGCAACUGUUUCAUCUCGGUUUUAGUCUUUGUCCUCACGGGGCCGAUCUUUCAAUCAGUUGAGUUUCUGUUAGGGUGUCUUUUUGUUGGUUUGAUUCUUUUUGAAGUUGGAGACUUCACUCGAUAUUACGGUGAAGAUUUUGCGAUUCUAUAGCCCGCAUUUCCAAGGGUUCAUCCUCGACCAAAUACGUUCACUCUUCACGGUUUUCCAUCUUUUUGGAUGGGCAAAUCAAGGGGCUCUGAUACUUUUCUGUCGGUAUUCAAGUCUGCGUACAAGUGACUAUGUUGACACUCUAGUUAAAUUGUAGUGCCUUUGUUUAAGAGUUGAGUAGAUUUCGUCUUCCAAAAAAUAUUCACAAGAAGGUGCAUCCAAAGUAUUUCAUUCUAAUUCUUAUUUAAAAAAUAUAUUUGUGCACACUCUGUUCACUAAUGUAAGACAUUUGACACCAAAACCGUCUUACAUUGGUGAACAGAGGUAGUAGUUUUUUGAAUCUUAGAUCCAAAGAAUUUCACCUGUAAUGGUUUUCAUGUUUGGAUAAAGUUACAUUAUUUAAUCCUGAUUGUUUAUUAUUAAAUUCGUAUUACCAAAAUAGCCAUUUUCAUGGCUACCGGCUGGGCUUGGCAUUUUGUUUUCGGGCUUUGCAAGGCCUGCCCUGAAACCCGGCCUGCCCGGUCAUUGACCUGGUCUAGCGCUGAAUAUGUUCCUCAUCGAUAGCCACAGUCUCGGCUCCAAACUCCACCGCCUACGGCCACGGUACACACUGACACUAUUGCUUUUGCUUGUGCGGCGUCGCGCCGCGCUGGCCAGAAAUACCACGCGAGAGACUAGAAGGCGGAGGCUCAAGAGAUCAAGAAGCUGGCGGCGAGCAACGGGUGGGAGCGCGCCGAUGGGAGCGCCAUGGCCGGGAUGGACCCUGGCGCCGGCGAGCCUCGGGGCGCGUCGCACUACCUCGACCUCCUCCUCGCGCAGCAGCAGCAGUCGACGCCGUUCUCCCCCAUCGCGCAUGUCAAGGCGGAGCACCACUCCAUGGCGUCGCCGGUCAGGAGCCCCGCCUCCGGCGCCGGUGCCGAGCAACACGGGGGCGGCGGCGACCAGCAGCAGCCCUCCUCAUCGGCCAUGGUGCUGGCGGAUGGCGGCGGGGGGUCCGCGCGGCCGAUGCGGCGCCCGCGAGGGAGGCCGCCGGGGUCCAAGAACAAGCCCAAGCCGCCCAUCAUCGUGAUCCUGGACAGCCCCAACGUGUUCCACUCCCACAUCCUCGAGGUCGCCGACGGCGCCGACGUCGUCGAGUGCCUCGCCGAGUACGCGCGCCGCCGCAGGCGCGGCGUCUGCGUGCUCAGCGGCGCCGGGGUCGUCACCAACGUCUCGCUUCGUCAGCCCCGCGCGUCGUCGUCGUCGCCUGGCGGCCUCGUUGCCACCCUGCAUGGGCAGUUCGAGAUCCUGUCGCUUACGGGCACGGUGCUGCCGCCGGCGGCACCCCCGGCUGCCAGCAGCCUCGCCGUGUACCUCGCCGGCUGGCAGGGGCAGGUCGUCGGCGGCAGCGUGGUCGGCCAGCUCGUCGCCGCGGGGCCCGUGUUCCUCAUGGCCGCGUCGUUUGCCAAUGCCGUCUACGAGCGUCUGCCGCUGGAGGUGGAGGCAGAGGAGGCCGGCACGGCCACCGCAGCCAGAGAGGCGCAGGGAGAAGGCGCAGCAGGGCAGCCCCCCGGCGCUGUACCGCAGCAGCCUGCGGCGUCGCAGUCGUCGGAGGUGACCGGAGGCGAGGCCGGCGGGCAUGGCAUGCCGUUGUGCAAUCUUGAAGGGAAUGUUGGGAGCUACCAGUUGCCCGGACCCGGAGACAACUUGGGGACCUGGAGCGGCGUCAGGCCAUGAUUGCUUGGACUGUCUUCCAGCAAGGUCGCAUCAGAAUUACUAGGAGAUUUGAAGGAACUGCGGUCGAUCACUGUGGGAAAGCAUUUUGUCUACGGUACGUGUUGCAAGCUUUGCACUUGAGACGAUUUGUGGAGUAUGCAAUGCAUGUAAAAUUAUGGGUCAACGCAUUUUGUGGACUAAGUUUUAGACUUUUUAGUACUCAUGUCGGAAAAAUCUCAUACUACAUCGCCUAGUGUAUCAGUGUCGCAAGAAUUUUUUUUGGAACAAGAACCCGGAAGAAUGAAAGGUUAAGUUGAUGUCCCGGGUUCAUCCUGUAAUAUUUUUUAUCUCGAAUCCGUGGCCUUUUUACAGCAACUUUU